UACAGAGGGUGCGAGCGUUGUCCGGAAUUACUGGGCGUAAAGGGCGCGUAGGCGGCCUGAUAAGUAGGGGGUGAAAUUCCGUGGCUCAACCACGGAACUGCCUUCUAAACUGCCAGGCUUGAGCACGGUAGAGGCAGAUGGAAUUCCCGGUGUAGCGGUGGAAUGCGUAGAGAUCGGGAAGAACACCGGUGGCGAAGGCGGUCUGCUGGGCCGUUGCUGACGCUGAUGCGCGACAGCGUGGGGAGCAAACAGG
This 253-nucleotide ribosomal RNA is filed under the name uncultured bacterium. Its description in RNAcentral is "partial 16S ribosomal RNA". It matches the Rfam family "Bacterial small subunit ribosomal RNA", at positions 524 to 776 of the family's 1533-position model. The record is from RNAcentral.